This is a long non-coding RNA of Sebastes umbrosus (honeycomb rockfish), 155 nucleotides long. RefSeq lists it as uncharacterized. The transcript has 2 exons. Lineage: Eukaryota; Metazoa; Chordata; Actinopteri; Perciformes; Sebastidae. The record is from RefSeq and is a predicted model, not a curated record.
CUAGCUCUCCCGUCAGCUCCGUUCUCUUUAUACAUCCAUGGUCGUAUCCGCUGUUUUCCGCUUUUUCGUUACAGCACACUGCGGCCGACUGUGGUUUGAUUUGGUUGACGGAUACAGAACGGAUAUGGCGUCACGGUACUCUGACUACAGUACAA